This is a long non-coding RNA of Cydia fagiglandana, 253 nucleotides long. RefSeq lists it as uncharacterized. NCBI's taxonomy places the organism in Eukaryota, Metazoa, Arthropoda, Insecta, Lepidoptera, Tortricidae. The transcript is spliced from 3 exons. The record is from RefSeq and is a predicted model, not a curated record.
UCCAAGUACCGAUUUAGCUGAAAACAGUUGGUAAAAGAUGAAAUACCUGCAGGUUUUUAUUUUGGGGCUCCUUUUAAUUCUAAGCAUUGACUAUAGUGAGUGCCUUCUGCCUCCACCGAAGUAUGACCCACAGGACUUGGCGGGCUGUAUACCAGGGUCCUACGUACAGAGCCGUCACUACCACAUAGCCUGUCUGUGCGUGAGUCCCGGGGUUGCCGACGAGAAUAAAUGCAUCGAUACCUAUUCAGUAUAG